This 450-nucleotide ribosomal RNA is filed under the name uncultured bacterium. RNAcentral's name for it is "partial 16S ribosomal RNA". It matches the Rfam family "Bacterial small subunit ribosomal RNA", at positions 329 to 793 of the family's 1533-position model. The record is from RNAcentral.
GACCAGACUCCUACGGGAGGCAGCAGUGGGGAAUAUUGGGCAAUGGGCGCAAGCCUGACCCAGCAACGCCGCGUGAAGGAAGAAGGCUUUCGGGUUGUAAACUUCUUUUCUCAGGGACGAAGCAAGUGACGGUACCUCUUGAAUAAGCCACGGCUAACUACGUGCCAGCAGCCGCGGUAAUACGUAGGUGGCAAGCGUUGUCCGGAUUUACUGGGUGUAAAGGGCGUGUAGCCGGGCUGACAAGUCAGAUGUGAAAUUCCGGGGCUCAACCCCGGACCUGCACUUGAAACUGUUGGUCUUGAGUAUCGGAGAGGCAGGCGGAAUUCCUGGUGUAGCGGUGAAAUGCGUAGAUAUUAGGAGGAACACCAGUGGCGAAGGCGGCCUGCUGGACGACAACUGACGGUGAGGCGCGAAAGCGUGGGGAGCAAACAGGAUUAGAUACCCUUGUAU